RNAcentral lists this ribosomal RNA (498 nucleotides) under uncultured bacterium. RNAcentral describes it as "partial 16S ribosomal RNA". It matches the Rfam family "Bacterial small subunit ribosomal RNA", at positions 28 to 507 of the family's 1533-position model. The record is from RNAcentral.
GACGAACGCUGGCGGCAUGCCUAACACAUGCAAGUCGAACGGAAAUUAUUUCGGUACUCUUAGUGGCGGACGGGUGAGUACGGCGUGGGCAACCUGCCCUCUAGAUGUGGACAAUAUCGCGAGAGGGGUGCUAAUACCGAAUGUGACAGCAAUCUCGCAUGAGGAUGCUGUGAAAGAUGACCUCUAGUUAUUAGGUAUCGCUAGAGGAUGGGCCUGCGUCUGAUUGGCUAGUUGGUGGGGUCACGGCCUACCAAGGCGAUGAUCCGUAUCCGGUUUGAGAGGAUGGACGGCCCAAAUGGGACCGAGACCAGGCCCAGGACCCCAAGGGAGGGAGCAGUGGGGAAACAUCCGCCAUGGGCGACAGCCUUAAUGCAGAAAGCCGGGUGAGUGAUGAAGGAAUUCGUGGCUUUAAGGCCUUUUGUUUAUGACGAAUGUGCAGAAGGUUAACAAUGAGCUGUACUGACGGUAGUAAACGAAUAAGCAACGGCUAACUACGUG